RNAcentral lists this ribosomal RNA (253 nucleotides) under uncultured bacterium. RNAcentral describes it as "partial 16S ribosomal RNA". It matches the Rfam family "Bacterial small subunit ribosomal RNA", at positions 524 to 776 of the family's 1533-position model. The record is from RNAcentral.
UACGUAGGGGGCCAGCGUUGCUCGGAAUUACUGGGCGUAAAGGGUCCGUAGGCGGUGUAGCAAGUCGAUAGUGAAAUCUCUGCGCUUAACGCAGAGGCUGCUAACGAAACUGCUGUGCUAGAGUGUGAGAGAGGCGAGUGGAAUUACGGGUGUAGCGGUGAAAUGCGUAGAUAUCCGUAGGAACAUCCGAGGCGAAGGCGGCUCGCUGGAUCACAACUGACGCUGAGGGACGAAAGCUAGGGGAGCAAACAGG